Molecule: ribosomal RNA, 497 nt
Filed under: uncultured bacterium
Lineage: Bacteria
Description: partial 16S ribosomal RNA
Rfam family: Bacterial small subunit ribosomal RNA
Source: RNAcentral
GACGAACGCUGGCGGCGUGCCUAAUACAUGCAAGUAGAACGCUGAAGAGAGGAGCUUGCUCUUCUUGGAUGAGUUGCGAACGGGUGAGUAACGCGUAGGUAACCUGCCUUGUAGCGGGGGAUAACUAUUGGAAACGAUAGCUAAUACCGCAUAACAAUGGGUGACACAUGUCAUUUAUUUGAAAGGGGCAAUUGCUCCACUACAAGAUGGACCUGCGUUGUAUUAGCUAGUAGGUGAGGUAAUGGCUCACCUAGGCGACGAUACAUAGCCGACCUGAGAGGGUGAUCGGCCACACUGGGACUGAGACACGGCCCAGACUCCUACGGGAGGCAGCAGUAGGGAAUCUUCGGCAAUGGGGGCAACCCUGACCGAGCAACGCCGCGUGAGUGAAGAAGGUUUUCGGAUCGUAAAGCUCUGUUGUAAGUCAAGAACGGGUGUGAGAGUGGAAAGUUCACACUGCGACGGUAGCUUACCAGAAAGGGACGGCUAACUACGUG